Molecule: ribosomal RNA, 1875 nt
Filed under: Escherichia coli
Lineage: Bacteria; Pseudomonadati; Pseudomonadota; Gammaproteobacteria; Enterobacterales; Enterobacteriaceae
Description: bacterial LSU rRNA
Rfam family: Bacterial large subunit ribosomal RNA
Source: RNAcentral
AAUGUUAUCACGGGAGACACACGGCGGGUGCUAACGUCCGUCGUGAAGAGGGAAACAACCCAGACCGCCAGCUAAGGUCCCAAAGUCAUGGUUAAGUGGGAAACGAUGUGGGAAGGCCCAGACAGCCAGGAUGUUGGCUUAGAAGCAGCCAUCAUUUAAAGAAAGCGUAAUAGCUCACUGGUCGAGUCGGCCUGCGCGGAAGAUGUAACGGGGCUAAACCAUGCACCGAAGCUGCGGCAGCGACACUAUGUGUUGUUGGGUAGGGGAGCGUUCUGUAAGCCUGUGAAGGUGUACUGUGAGGUAUGCUGGAGGUAUCAGAAGUGCGAAUGCUGACAUAAGUAACGAUAAAGCGGGUGAAAAGCCCGCUCGCCGGAAGACCAAGGGUUCCUGUCCAACGUUAAUCGGGGCAGGGUGAGUCGACCCCUAAGGCGAGGCCGAAAGGCGUAGUCGAUGGGAAACAGGUUAAUAUUCCUGUACUUGGUGUUACUGCGAAGGGGGGACGGAGAAGGCUAUGUUGGCCGGGCGACGGUUGUCCCGGUUUAAGCGUGUAGGCUGGUUUUCCAGGCAAAUCCGGAAAAUCAAGGCUGAGGCGUGAUGACGAGGCACUACGGUGCUGAAGCAACAAAUGCCCUGCUUCCAGGAAAAGCCUCUAAGCAUCAGGUAACAUCAAAUCGUACCCCAAACCGACACAGGUGGUCAGGUAGAGAAUACCAAGGCGCUUGAGAGAACUCGGGUGAAGGAACUAGGCAAAAUGGUGCCGUAACUUCGGGAGAAGGCACGCUGAUAUGUAGGUGAAGCGACUUGCUCGUGGAGCUGAAAUCAGUCGAAGAUACCAGCUGGCUGCAACUGUUUAUUAAAAACACAGCACUGUGCAAACACGAAAGUGGACGUAUACGGUGUGACGCCUGCCCGGUGCCGGAAGGUUAAUUGAUGGGGUUAGCGGUAACGCGAAGCUCUUGAUCGAAGCCCCGGUAAACGGCGGCCGUAACUAUAACGGUCCUAAGGUAGCGAAAUUCCUUGUCGGGUAAGUUCCGACCUGCACGAAUGGCGUAAUGAUGGCCAGGCUGUCUCCACCCGAGACUCAGUGAAAUUGAACUCGCUGUGAAGAUGCAGUGUACCCGCGGCAAGACGGAAAGACCCCGUGAACCUUUACUAUAGCUUGACACUGAACAUUGAGCCUUGAUGUGUAGGAUAGGUGGGAGGCUUUGAAGUGUGGACGCCAGUCUGCAUGGAGCCGACCUUGAAAUACCACCCUUUAAUGUUUGAUGUUCUAACGUUGGCCCGUUAUCCGGGUUGCGGACAGUGUCUGGUGGGUAGUUUGACUGGGGCGGUCUCCUCCUAAAGAGUAACGGAGGAGCACGAAGGUUGGCUAAUCCUGGUCGGACAUCAGGAGGUUAGUGCAAUGGCAUAAGCCAGCUUGACUGCGAGCGUGACGGCGCGAGCAGGUGCGAAAGCAGGUCAUAGUGAUCCGGUGGUUCUGAAUGGAAGGGCCAUCGCUCAACGGAUAAAAGGUACUCCGGGGAUAACAGGCUGAUACCGCCCAAGAGUUCAUAUCGACGGCGGUGUUUGGCACCUCGAUGUCGGCUCAUCACAUCCUGGGGCUGAAGUAGGUCCCAAGGGUAUGGCUGUUCGCCAUUUAAAGUGGUACGCGAGCUGGGUUUAGAACGUCGUGAGACAGUUCGGUCCCUAUCUGCCGUGGGCGCUGGAGAACUGAGGGGGGCUGCUCCUAGUACGAGAGGACCGGAGUGGACGCAUCACUGGUGUUCGGGUUGUCAUGCCAAUGGCACUGCCCGGUAGCUAAAUGCGGAAGAGAUAAGUGCUGAAAGCAUCUAAGCACGAAACUUGCCCCGAGAUGAGUUCUCCCUGACUCCUUGA